This is a long non-coding RNA of Mesoplodon densirostris (Blainville's beaked whale), 962 nucleotides long. RefSeq lists it as uncharacterized. The transcript is spliced from 5 exons. Lineage: Eukaryota; Metazoa; Chordata; Mammalia; Artiodactyla; Ziphiidae. The record is from RefSeq and is a predicted model, not a curated record.
UCAGCCCGUAGCAACUGACCUCUGCUCCCACCAAACUCCUUGAACUGAGGUUACUACCAGCACCUGGCUUCCCGGGCUUCAUCAUCUACAGUUGUGAAAUCAGGGCUGAAUUUAUGCUUUUAGGCCUCAAAAUAAGACAUUUCUGAGAAAAGUGAAUCCCGUGACUUGGCCUCAGAGGAACAUUAAGAGACCUUCCCCAGGGACCUGGUUUUCAAGUUACCUGUGAAUCAGAGAGUAAGAUAGAGAGGCCUUCAGGAAGUCUCAUAAGGGAUGGAAUGAAGAAAAAUAAGAGAGAUUCAGCAAAGGAGGGAGUAAAUAAUGAGAAAAUUCCUAUAAAAAAUAGAUGUCAUGCACAUAAGAAAUCAGAAAAAAAUGUUGGGGUCAGUUCACACAUCUGCAGUUUCCAGGUGUGUAAAGAGUGUGGCAAAGCCUUUAACUUCAACUCAGCACUAGCAAGUCAGCAUUGGAGAGAAACCUUUUAGAUGCAAGGACUACAGCAAGGCCUUCAAGCAAAAAGUCAGCUUAAAUCAAUAUCAAUGGAUCCAAAAGAAAAAAAGAAAAGGGAAGAAAAAAGAAAAAACCCCAAGAUCAAUGGAUCCACACUUGGGUGAAGCCCUACAAAUGCAGAGUGUGGGAAAGGCUUCAACAAGACUACCAAACGUAAGUGGUGAGCUUCUCCAUAGGAGGAUUGGUCAGGAAGGUGGACUGUCCCCAAAGGAGAUGAAUACAAGGAAUGACCUUGAGAGUGUCUGUCUUUCCUUAGAUUUUAGUUCCUGAGAGUGUUACCUUUCCCUGAGACAGGAAUAACAGAGGUCAGAUGACGACAACAGUGUCCUUAACAACCAGGCCCCAGCAUCGUCCACUUCCGAACUAGCUCUGAUCUCUCAUCUUGAGCAAAGGGAAAGAGUCACGUUUCACCCAGCCCCAGGGACCCCUAAGCAGGAGGAACAGGAGAGCAGGUU